UACGGAGGGUGCGAGCGUUGUCCGGAAUUACUGGGCGUAAAGCGUGCGCAGGCGGUGAUGUAAGACAGGUGUGAAAUCCCCGGGCUUAACCGGGGAACUGCGUCUGAUACUGGAUGGCUUGAGUUCGGGAGAGGGAUGCGGAAUUCCAGGUGUAGCGGUGAAAUGCGUAGAUAUCUGGAGGAACACCGGUGGCGAAGGCGGCAUCCUGGACCGACACUGACACUGAGGAGCGAAAGCCAGGGGAGCAAACGGG
Molecule: ribosomal RNA, 253 nt
Filed under: uncultured bacterium
Lineage: Bacteria
Description: partial 16S ribosomal RNA
Rfam family: Bacterial small subunit ribosomal RNA
Source: RNAcentral